AAAUUGAAGAGUUUGAUCAUGGCUCAGAUUGAACGCUGGCGGCAGGCCUAACACAUGCAAGUCGAACGGUAACAGGAAGCAGCUUGCUGCUUUGCUGACGAGUGGCGGACGGGUGAGUAAUGUCUGGGAAACUGCCUGAUGGAGGGGGAUAACUACUGGAAACGGUGGCUAAUACCGCAUAACGUCGCAAGACCAAAGAGGGGGACCUUCGGGCCUCUUGCCAUCAGAUGUGCCCAGAUGGGAUUAGCUUGUUGGUGAGGUAACGGCUCACCAAGGCGACGAUCCCUAGCUGGUCUGAGAGGAUGACCAGCCACACUGGAACUGAGACACGGUCCAGACUCCUACGGGAGGCAGCAGUGGGGAAUAUUGCACAAUGGGCGCAAGCCUGAUGCAGCCAUGCCGCGUGUAUGAAGAAGGCCUUCGGGUUGUAAAGUACUUUCAGCGGGGAGGAAGGUGUUGCGGUUAAUAACCGCAGCAAUUGACGUUACCCGCAGAAGAAGCACCGGCUAACUCCGUGCCAGCAGCCGCGGUAAUACGGAGGGUGCAAGCGUUAAUCGGAAUUACUGGGCGUAAAGCGCACGCAGGCGGUCUGUCAAGUCGGAUGUGAAAUCCCCGGGCUCAACCUGGGAACUGCAUUCGAAACUGGCAGGCUUGAGUCUUGUAGAGGGGGGUAGAAUUCCAGGUGUAGCGGUGAAAUGCGUAGAGAUCUGGAGGAAUACCGGUGGCGAAGGCGGCCCCCUGGACAAAGACUGACGCUCAGGUGCGAAAGCGUGGGGAGCAAACAGGAUUAGAUACCCUGGUAGUCCACGCCGUAAACGAUGUCUACUUGGAGGUUGUGCCCUUGAGGCGUGGCUUCCGGAGCUAACGCGUUAAGUAGACCGCCUGGGGAGUACGGCCGCAAGGUUAAAACUCAAAUGAAUUGACGGGGGCCCGCACAAGCGGUGGAGCAUGUGGUUUAAUUCGAUGCAACGCGAAGAACCUUACCUGGUCUUGACAUCCACAGAAGAAUCCAGAGAUGGAUUUGUGCCUUCGGGAACUGUGAGACAGGUGCUGCAUGGCUGUCGUCAGCUCGUGUUGUGAAAUGUUGGGUUAAGUCCCGCAACGAGCGCAACCCUUAUCCUUUGUUGCCAGCGAUUAGGUCGGGAACUCAAAGGAGACUGCCAGUGAUAAACUGGAGGAAGGUGGGGAUGACGUCAAGUCAUCAUGGCCCUUACGACCAGGGCUACACACGUGCUACAAUGGCGCAUACAAAGAGAAGCGACCUCGCGAGAGCAAGCGGACCUCAUAAAGUGCGUCGUAGUCCGGAUUGGAGUCUGCAACUCGACUCCAUGAAGUCGGAAUCGCUAGUAAUCGUGGAUCAGAAUGCCACGGUGAAUACGUUCCCGGGCCUUGUACACACCGCCCGUCACACCAUGGGAGUGGGUUGCAAAAGAAGUAGGUAGCUUAACCUUCGGGAGGGCGCUUACCACUUUGUGAUUCAUGACUGGGGUGAAGUCGUAACAAGGUAACCGUAGGGGAACCUGCGGUUGGAUCACCUCCUUAC
RNAcentral lists this ribosomal RNA (1543 nucleotides) under Salmonella enterica subsp. enterica serovar Typhimurium str. 14028S. Its description in RNAcentral is "bacterial SSU rRNA". It matches the Rfam family "Bacterial small subunit ribosomal RNA". The record is from RNAcentral. Lineage: Bacteria; Pseudomonadati; Pseudomonadota; Gammaproteobacteria; Enterobacterales; Enterobacteriaceae.